GCCGAAGUGGCGAAAUUGGUAGACGCAGUUGAUUCAAAAUCAACCGUAUUACAUACGUGUCGGUUCAAAUCCGACCUUCGGCA
Molecule: transfer RNA, 83 nt
Rfam family: tRNA
About the family: Transfer RNA (tRNA) molecules are approximately 80 nucleotides in length. Their secondary structure includes four short double-helical elements and three loops (D, anti-codon, and T loops).